GACGUAGGGCGCGAGCGUUGUCCGGAUUUAUUGGGCGUAAAGGGCUCGUAGGCGGCUUGUCGCGUCGGGAGUGAAAACCUCGGGCUUAACUCGGGGCUUGCUUUCGAUACGGGCAGACUGGAGUACUGCAGGGGAGACUGGAAUUCCUGGUGUAGCGGUGGAAUGCGCAGAUAUCAGGAGGAACACCGGUGGCGAAGGCGGGUCUCUGGGCAGUAACUGACGCUGAGGAGCGAAAGCGUGGGGAGCGAACAGG
This 253-nucleotide ribosomal RNA is filed under the name uncultured bacterium. RNAcentral describes it as "partial 16S ribosomal RNA". It matches the Rfam family "Bacterial small subunit ribosomal RNA", at positions 524 to 776 of the family's 1533-position model. The record is from RNAcentral.